AUGGAGGCGGCGGCCCGAGCGACGAAGGCGAGGAGAAAGACCUGCCUGCUCUGGACGCCGCUUUCCCCCAGGCCUAGAGCUCCAUGGAGGAAGACACCAGGCCCAGGCCAAGGACUCCCAGGUGGUAAAGGGAGACAGAGAUUGGAGAAACAGAGAAUGGUUUAAUUUAUGGACAACUUAAAAGGGCAGCUGUUUAACUUCAAUGUAGAGAUGCUCAUCUGAGGACUGGGCCAUAAAGAUAAAGAAGUAACAAAUGGGGAAAGAGAAAGCUUUUAGAUAAGGAAUGUUAAGAUCCCCUGCUCAGUAGCAAAUUAAGUAAAACAGCCAGAACUAACCAAUCACAGAGACUGGUGGAGCUUUAGAAUAAUUAGGGAAAGAAGGUAUAUAUUCCCUGGGACAUGACUCCACUUUGGCUUUCUUGCCCCUUCCAGGCCUGGUUUCAUGGUCUGGGAGUUCUACUUUGUUUUUGUUUUUU
Talpa occidentalis (Iberian mole) is the source of this 475-nucleotide long non-coding RNA. RefSeq lists it as uncharacterized. The transcript has 3 exons. The record is from RefSeq and is a predicted model, not a curated record. Lineage: Eukaryota; Metazoa; Chordata; Mammalia; Eulipotyphla; Talpidae.